UGUAACCCCAACACUUUUUGGAGGCUGAGGUGAGAGUAUACUUGAGCCUGGGAGUUUGAGACCAGCCUGGGCAACAUAGGGAGAUCCUGCCUCUACAAAAAUAAUAAAAAAUAUUAGUUGGGCUUGGUGGUGUGCACCUGUGGUCUCAGCUACUCGGGAGGCUGAGGUGGGAGGAUUACCCACCUCAAGCCCGGGGGGUUGAGGCUGUAGUGAGCCAAGAUUGCACCACCGCACUCCAGCUUGGGUGACAGAGUGAGACCCUGUCUCAUAAACAAACAAAAAAAUGGAGAUAUUUUACAUAGGAAUUUAAAUAUUUGACCUCUCCUAGAAAAUCAAGUGCGUGGCAACUCUGGGCCUAUUCCCGUGUGUUCCUCAGCCAUCGCUCGGGCCAGGGCCUGGGUGCGCAGGCUGUCCCCUGCCCCGUAGGCCCCCAGCCUAGUUCAAUAGUCAAGCAUUUUGAAGAGAAUGAAUGAAAUCCAGUUCUUGACGGUCCUAAAGGAAUACUUGACGUCUAUGAAGUUGAGCAGUUUCCAGGUUUACCUGGAUUCUGGGCAAACACAGUCUGAGAAGUAGCUGGGGCUCCAGGCAGGUGCUCAGGGGGCAUCUCUGCAGGGGAACUGCCAGGCUUUCGGGAGGGCUGGCCUCACCCCCAAGGCCUCACUGCCAUGCUUGUCUUGGCAGAAUCACCUCCACUGUGGCCUGCGACAUGGACCUGGCCAAAUACCCCAUGGACGAGCAGGAGUGCAUGCUGGACCUGGAGAGCUGUGAGUGGGUGUACAAGGCGGGCAGGGGCUUCUCUCGGAGGGGCCACGCUGGCUUCUCCAGCAGUGGAUGGGGGCUCAGACUGUCAGCCCGGGGCCUGGACAAGGCUGGCCCGGCUCAGGGUGCAGGAAAGCACCAAACCAGCUUCUGCAUGCAAGAAGCCUGGGCAGGAGGAGAAGGGGCCAGAAGGCCUGGAGCAGUCUGGCUUGUGGGUCUGUGCCCUGCCUGGGGAGCCGGGCCGUGGAGCCCAGACAUGGCACGGAUUGAUAGUGUUGAGCCAGUGCAGCAGCCCCUGUGUGUCACCUGACAACGGUGACCCCAUCUGUGUCCCAUCCACCUGCCCAGCGGAGCCCGACGUGGUCCCAGAGCCGAAGGCCUCCUCGCUCCUGGCUGGGGUCCUGCUCGGUCCCCAUCACGAUGGCGUCGGCCCCCUGCAGGCUUCCUGUGUGGACGGAGCGCUCCUGCCAGGGCUCCCGGGGCAGGGCCAGGCUCUGCCGCCCACCUGUGUGCUUUUCCUCCAGACGGUUACUCAUCGGAGGACAUUGUCUACUACUGGUCGGAGAGCCAGGAGCACAUCCACGGGCUGGACAAGCUGCAGCUGGCGCAGUUCACCAUCACCAGCUACCGCUUCACCACGGAGCUGAUGAACUUCAAGUCCGCUGGCCAGUUCCCACGGCUCAGCCUGCACUUCCACCUGCGGAGGAACCGCGGCGUGUACAUCAUCCAGUCCUACAUGCCCUCCGUCCUGCUGGUCGCCAUGUCCUGGGUCUCCUUCUGGAUCAGCCAGGCGGCGGUGCCCGCCAGAGUGUCUCUAGUGCCCGCUCCUCCCUGCCGCGGGCGUCAGCCAUCAAGGCACUGGACGUCUACUUCUGGAUCUGCUAUGUCUUCGUGUUUGCCGCCCUGGUGGAGUACGCCUUUGCGCAUUUCAACGCCGACUACAGGAAGAAGCAGAAGGCCAAGGUCAAGGUCUCCAGGCCGAGGGCAGAGAUGGACGUGAGGAACGCCAUUGUCCUCUUCUCCCUCUCCGCUGCCGGCGUCACGCAGGAGCUGGCCAUCUCCCGCCGGCAGCGCCGCGUCCCGGGGAACCUGAUGGGCUCCUACAGGUCGGUGGGGGUGGAGACAGGGGAGACGAAGAAGGAGGGGGCGGCCCGCUCAGGAGGCCAGGGGGGCAUCCGUGCCCGGCUCAGGCCCAUCGACGCAGACACCAUUGACAUUUACGCCCGCGCUGUGUUCCCUGCGGCAUUUGCGGCUGUCAAUGUCAUCUACUGGGCGGCGUACGCCAUGUGAGCACCGGACU
This 2059-nucleotide small RNA is filed under the name Pan troglodytes (chimpanzee). Its description in RNAcentral is "retained intron". The record is from RNAcentral. Lineage: Eukaryota; Metazoa; Chordata; Mammalia; Primates; Hominidae.